This 686-nucleotide long non-coding RNA is filed under the name Phascolarctos cinereus (koala). RNAcentral's name for it is "lncRNA (ENSPCIG00000034261.1)". The record is from RNAcentral. Lineage: Eukaryota; Metazoa; Chordata; Mammalia; Diprotodontia; Phascolarctidae.
GUAGAAGGUUAAUUAUUGUUUGAUUCUCUUCUCGUGGACUUCGUUCUGAAGAUGGAGUCUCUUUUUGAUGCCUACGUUGUGAUGUUGCUCUGAUCCUUUGAAGUAAAGAUUCACCCACAACAUAUGACUCAAUGACAGAUGAAAGAAAGGGCAUCCCCACAGGAAGAGAGACCUAUCUAGAGUUAGCCUUUGCCUGAUCAGACGCGCUGCCAAUCCUGGCCACUCCUGGUCAGCUAAGUCCCAUUUCUACCUCGGCCACAUUGGAAUGGAGCUCUGCAGGCAGACUCCUUGAAGAUGCUUGGGGAUGGCUUGUGUUCUCAUCUCUCCUCAACAUUCCCACUCUGCCUGUAGUUCUUGCAGUAGGCUGCCAAGUUGGUCCACCUGGGUCUUGGAACUGAGAUAUCACAUUUCCCACGUCUCAUGCCUUCCCUCCACCGGCCCUGCAUUAUUGAUGAUGACUCUGAGCCUCCCCAGCCUUCAUUUCCACAGAGGGUCAGGCUUCUCUCAUACCUAUUUGGUCUGAAGAAUCAGAGCAUUUUUCAAGACACCAGCCCGGGACAGUUUCUUAAACCAACUAUGAGACUACAAAUGGUUUUGCUUUUGCCUUAAUAGAAGACAGUGGAAUGUCCGUUCUUGUGUAUUUAAAAAAAAAUAAAGGAGAGAUUCCCCAGAGUGCUCUGUGUUAU